RNAcentral lists this ribosomal RNA (300 nucleotides) under uncultured Pyrobaculum sp. RNAcentral's name for it is "partial 16S ribosomal RNA". The stretch from base 52 to 300 matches the Rfam family "Bacterial small subunit ribosomal RNA", at positions 547 to 795 of the family's 1533-position model. The record is from RNAcentral. Lineage: Archaea; Thermoproteati; Thermoproteota; Thermoprotei; Thermoproteales; Thermoproteaceae.
GCUAGGUGGGGGCCAGACGGGGGGGUAAGAGGGGGGGGGGAAGUGGUGGACGGGAUUACUGGGCGUAAAGGGGUCGUAGGUGGCCAACUAAGUCAGGCGUGGAAUCGCUCGGCGUAUCCGGGGAACUGCGUCUGAUACGGGAUGGCUUGAGGUUGGGAGAGGGAUGCGGAAUUCCAGGUGUAGCGGUGAAAUGCGUAGAUAUCUGGAGGAACACCGGUGGCGAAGGCGGCAUCCUGGACCAAUUCUGACGCUGAGGAGCGAAAGCCAGGGGAGCAAACGGGAUUAGAUACCCUAGUAGUC